This is a long non-coding RNA of Diachasmimorpha longicaudata, 752 nucleotides long. RefSeq lists it as uncharacterized. Lineage: Eukaryota; Metazoa; Arthropoda; Insecta; Hymenoptera; Braconidae. The record is from RefSeq and is a predicted model, not a curated record. The transcript is spliced from 3 exons.
UUUGUCUCUAAAAAAAAUAAUUCAAAUAAAUAUUAUAAAUAUUUGAUUGAAUGUAUGUUAUGAGGAAUCGAUUAAUGUCAGUGUUUUAUGAGGAUUCAAUUAAUGUCAGUGAAAAAAGCCAAAGUGAAUGAUCAAAAGCAAAAAGAAGAUGAGUGACUGAAAGAUUCACCACCUGUGGAGUUGGGAAUUGAGGAAGGGAAGAAGAGGUAGCGGAUAGUUAUUGCUGGGGAAAAAAUUCGGGGAUGAAAUUUUCUGGAAUUUCUUCCAACAGUCUUGGCUUCACUAGACCAAUGAAACAACUCUAGAAAUGAAAAAAAAAAUGAUUGAUAGUGUCCGAUCAAACACCGGGUGUCACCACUGUUGGGUCAUAAAAUUGAUUAAAAAAUGGAUUCUGCAGCUUUACCGGCAUUCACUGGAGGCAGAGGGAUUGCAUCGACCUCGUCGAACCAGGUGGAACAUUGAGAAGACCCAUUUACCGACCGAUAGACAUCCCCCGUCAACGAUUGGUAUGAAGUGAUGGGACCAGCGUCACUUCUACUGCUGUCCCUUCGCCAAAUGCAACAGGCUAUUUUAUGCAUCCGUUUGAGGGAUAUUCACGUUGACAAACCGAGAGAAAAAACCACCGCAAAUAUUUCAUUGAUCUAAAAACUCCGAUGGUUAACACCGGUAAUUGCAAAAAGUCGAUGUCAGUUUCAAAAAUUCGUGAUAAAAGUGUUUCUCUCAUCCGGGCGUUCCAUCAACUCGAUGAAACC